CUGGCUCAGGACGAACGCUGGCGGCGUGCCUAACACAUGCAAGUCGAGCGGAUAGGUACUUUAAUGAACCUUCGGGGGAUUUAAAGUACUGAAAGCGGCGGACGGGUGAGUAACGCGUGGGGAACCUGCCCUAUGCAGGGGGAUAGCCUCGGGAAACCGGGAUUAAUACCCCAUAACACUUAUGGACCGCAUGGUGCAUAAGUCAAAG
RNAcentral lists this ribosomal RNA (208 nucleotides) under Caloranaerobacter azorensis DSM 13643. Its description in RNAcentral is "16S rRNA. Bacterial SSU". It matches the Rfam family "Bacterial small subunit ribosomal RNA", at positions 19 to 206 of the family's 1533-position model. The record is from RNAcentral. Lineage: Bacteria; Bacillati; Bacillota; Tissierellia; Tissierellales; Thermohalobacteraceae.